This 252-nucleotide ribosomal RNA is filed under the name uncultured bacterium. RNAcentral describes it as "partial 16S ribosomal RNA". It matches the Rfam family "Bacterial small subunit ribosomal RNA", at positions 524 to 775 of the family's 1533-position model. The record is from RNAcentral.
UACGGAGGGAGCUAGCGUUGUUCGGAAUUACUGGGCGUAAAGCGUGCGCAGGCGGUUAUGUAAGACAGGUGUGAAAUCCCCGGGCUUAACCUGGGAACUGCAUUUGUGACUGCAUAGCUAGAGUACGGUAGAGGGGGAUGGAAUUCCGCGUGUAGCAGUGAAAUGCGUAGAUAUGCGGAGGAACACCGAUGGCGAAGGCAAUCCCCUGGACCUGUACUGACGCUCAUGCACGAAAGCGUGGGGAGCAACAGG